CCGGACCUGACUGCUAUCGGAUUGGCGCUAAGCCAUGCGAGUCAUUGUAGCAAUACAAGGCGGACGGCUCAGUAACACGUAGUCAACCUAACCUAUGGACGUGGAUAACCUCGGGAGACUGAGAAUAAACCACGAUAGAUCAUGAUGCCUGGAAUGGCUUAUGGUUCAAACAAUUUAUUGCCAUAGGAUGGGACUGCGGCCUAUCAGCUUGUUGGUGAGGUAAUGGCCCACCAAGGCUAUAACAGGUACGGGCUCUGAGAGGAGAAGCCCGGAGAUGGGUACUGAGACACGGACCCAGGCCCUAUGGGGCGCAGCAGGCGAGAAACCUUAGCAAUGUGCGAAAGCACGACUAGGCUAAUCCGAGUGGUUCCUGCUAAAGGAACCUUUUGUCAGUCGUAAAACCACAGACGAAUAAGGGGUGGGCAAGUCUGGUGUCAGCCGCCGCGGUAAUACCAGCACCUCGAGUGGUCAGGAGGUUUAUUGGGCCUAAAGCAUCCGUAGCCGGCUAUGCAAGUCUCCGGUUAAAUCCAACUGCUCAACAGAUGGGCUGCCGGAGAUACUACAUAGCUAGGGAGCGGGAGAGGCAGACGGUAUUCGGUGGGUAGGGGUAAAAUCCUCUGAUCCAUCGAGGACCACCAGUGGCGAAGGCGGUCUGCCAGAACGCGUUCGACGGUGAGGGAUGAAAGCUGGGGGAGCAAACCGGAUUAGAUACCCGGGUAGUCCCAGCUGUAAACGAUGCAAACUCGGUGAUGCGUUGGCUUAUGGCCAACGCAGUGCCGCAGGGAAGCCGUUAAGUUUGCCGCCUGGGAAGUACGGACGCAAGUCUGAAACUUAAAGGAAUUGGCGGGGGAGCACCACAAGGGUGAAGCCUGCGGUUCA
This 879-nucleotide ribosomal RNA is filed under the name uncultured archaeon. RNAcentral's name for it is "bacterial SSU rRNA". It matches the Rfam family "Archaeal small subunit ribosomal RNA", at positions 17 to 904 of the family's 1478-position model. The record is from RNAcentral.